This 801-nucleotide ribosomal RNA is filed under the name uncultured archaeon. RNAcentral describes it as "bacterial SSU rRNA". It matches the Rfam family "Archaeal small subunit ribosomal RNA", at positions 87 to 871 of the family's 1478-position model. The record is from RNAcentral.
GGCUCAGUAACACGUGGAUAAUCUGCCCUUAGGUCGGGGAUAGCCUCUGGAAACUGAGGAUAAACCCUUGAAUAGGGAAAAUUUCUACUGGGAAAUGGUGUUUUUUCCUUAAACUUCGUGCCUAAAGGAUGAAGCCGCCGGUCGAAUUAAGGUUGUUGGUGAAGGUAAAUGGCCUCACCAAGCCGAUGAUCGGUAGGGGCCUUGAAGAGAGGUAACCCCGAGAAGGGCCACUAAGAUACUGGCCCUAGCCCCACGGGGUGCAGCAGGCGCGGAACCUUUACAAUGCACGAAAGUGUGAUAAGGGAAUCCCAAGUGCCUUACUUUUAGUAAGGCUUUUGUUAUGUGUAAAUAGCAUGACGAAUAAGUGGUGGGUAAGACUUGUGCCAGCCGCCGCGGUAACACCAGCGCCACAAGUGGCAACCGCUUUUAUUGGGCCUAAAGCGUCCGUAGCCUGUUCAGCAAAUUUCCUGUGAAAUCGUUAGGCUUAACUUAACGUUGUGCAGGAAAGACUACUGUACUAGGGACCGGGAGGCGUCAGAGGUAUUCUUGAGGGAGCGGUAAAAUGCUAUAAUCUCAGGAGGACGACCUGUGGCGAAGGCGUCUUGACGAGAACGGAUCCGACGGUGAGGGACGAAAGCUAGGGGAGCCAAACCGGAUUAGAUACCCGAGUAGUCCUAGCUGUAAACUCUGCGAGCUAGGUGUUACGUAUUCUUCGGGAAUACGUAGUGUCCGAAGCGAAAGGUGUUAAGCUCGCCGCCUGGGAAGUAUGGUCGCAAGACUGAAACUCAAAGGAAUUGACGG